Molecule: unclassified non-coding RNA, 347 nt
Filed under: Hevea brasiliensis (rubber tree)
Lineage: Eukaryota; Viridiplantae; Streptophyta; Magnoliopsida; Malpighiales; Euphorbiaceae
Source: RNAcentral
CAAGGAGGUCUGAUUAAGGAGACAUGGAUGGAAGAAGAUCCAAGAGAAGCUAUUCUGAAGUAUGCUGAUGUUGCAGCAAAGGAUCCAAAGUACAUUGCACCGGCGUAUUCGCAUACUCAGCCGGAAACCAUUUUCGCAAAGUCUGAUUCCGAGGAGGAAGAGAAAUGAUCAUGUUCUAUAGUUCUCCUGUUUGGCUUGGCAUUGCUGCUGUUGGAGAUUGUUGGCCGAGCUGCAGAUCCUUCGGCCAUGCCGGAGUGGUGGGAGUUUCGCCAGUCUCAAGUUCGGUUUGAUAUAGCAGCCUACUUGACAACCAGCAAGAAUUUAGGUCUGAAAAGGUAUAGUUGUAG